CCUACGGGAGGCAGCAGUGAGGAAUAUUGGUCAAUGGACGAGAGUCUGAACCAGCCAAGUAGCGUGAAGGAUGACUGCUCUAUGGGUUGUAAACUUCUUUUAUAAAGGGAUAAAACGAGGCACGUGUGUCUUUUUGCAUGUACUUUAUGAAUAAGGAUCGGCUAACUCCGUGCCAGCAGCCGCGGUAAUACGGAGGAUCCGAGCGUUAUCCGGAUUUAUUGGGUUUAAAGGGUGCGUAGACGGGUUGUUAAGUCAGUUGUGAAAGGUCGCGGCUCAACUGUAAAAUUGCAUCUGAGACUGGCAGGCUUGAGAACAGUUGAGGUAGGCGGAAUGUGUGGUGUAGCGGUGAAAUGCUUAGAUAUCACGCAGAACCCCGAUUGCGAAGGCAGCUUACUAAACUAUGACUGACAUUGAUGCUCGAAAGUGUGGGUAUCAAACAGGAUUAGAUACCCCUGUAGUC
RNAcentral lists this ribosomal RNA (460 nucleotides) under uncultured bacterium. Its description in RNAcentral is "partial 16S ribosomal RNA". It matches the Rfam family "Bacterial small subunit ribosomal RNA", at positions 338 to 795 of the family's 1533-position model. The record is from RNAcentral.